AAAUGGUGGUAUGGUAUGUAUGUAGUUAUUAACAGUCAACUGGCACGUAGGCCAAUAAUUUUAUGACCGGUGGUGAUUUAGUCGUAAAGGAAAUAUUUUGGCAACUCUGAAGAAGAAUGAUUUCUCAAAUGUCAGGCUUCGAUAUGCUGAUAUGAACUGGAAAUGGAGCAGAAUUUAUAUAAAAAAACUACAUAAAUAACAUCCUGUUGACAUAAAAGAAUAACACCCAUUUUCAGUGGUAUUUUGGGUGUUAUAAAUAACAAUUAUUCUUGCAAACAAUGCGAUGAUCUCAUUGCUGGUAAAAUUGGCAUGGCUAAACUAGCCACGAUGUUAAUGGCGUACAAAUUUCCAAUCUUAUAUUCCAGAAUGAAAUCAAAGCGUUCAAAAACGAAACAUGAUCGAGUCCUGCAUGACAUGCACGCAUUCUUAAAUUUAUGUAUUCUUCCAUUCCAUCAAGUCGGAUCAAAUUUCGUUCCCAUCGAAUUUCAUUUUUUCUAUUUGUCUGGCCUCGACAAUAAUUGCGGCAAUAAAAAUUAAGACCAUGUACAUAACUUUAUAUUGGGUUUCUUAAAAUAAUAUCCCCGUACUUUUUAUAUAUAUAUCAAUGCUUAUCUAGUAUGAAAAACCGCCUUCUUCUAAUCUAAAUACUGUCUGCGUAUACCGUGUGAAGGAAUGUGUUAUGAAUUUGAGUCCAGUUACAUCUUAUCGAAAAUAUGCCACUUAUAAUAUAAACAUGCACUUAGCACUCACAUUUGUUUUGGCAAAGCCUUUUCUACUACGGGACCCAAGCAUACGUAGGAAAGGGUACACGACCACGAUGACAUUUGAGGAUACUGCCGUGGUGGUGCUCAGCGUUAGUGUAAACUUAUUGGUGAUCAGAAUAAUCUGAGUGCCAGUGAGACCGUGAGACGGAUAAAAAGAAAUUAGUUGGCUUUUCUCCUUUGUCCAGAGCUGAAUCUAUUUAAACCGCAGUUGUUGCUGCUGAAUAAAAGCAUAAAUAUUGUCGUGUGAGAAAAGAAUAGAUUUCGUAGAAGUUAAUAGUCUUCCUUGGCACACUGUGCGCGUGCAUAGCUCUCUCUCUCUCACUCUCGCUAUUGAUGAAAUUGGCUGAAAAUAAGGACUCGCAGAAUGCAAGGAGUACUUAUUUAUAACAUUCCAAACCUGUACUGGAGUGUGGACGAUAUUCGUCACACUUUGAGGAGAAAGUGUGGAGGGGCAAGAGAUAAUAAUGGAAAUUGCUCCGCCUCUCCUGAUGAUAACACAGGCUCGAAAGUGCAGAGGAUUUUGCAAAGGGUCAGGAAGACUGAUUUUCGUCGGAUGACGAAGACCAUGCAUGAAGGAGUACGCUCAACUUUUGCAACUCUGUCGCAAAUUUACCAGGGAUUUUGUCAUCGUGAUGACGAGAAGGAAAACUGUGAAGGCGCUUGCGACGCUGAUUUUCCAGCAGAUGACAAAGAAAACCAGAAAUCAUCCCCUGAAAAAUUCAGGAAGACCAUGAAAAUCAAGCAUUCGAGUUAAAUAUUUAUUGAAUUCUGUCCGUAUGGUGGAGGUAUUUUUAUUGAAUUAUCAGAUAUCCAAAUUUUGAAAUCAUAUAAGGUUACUGAACAUUUUCUAACUGGAAGACAUAGUGUAAAAAAAUUACACGAUUCGUAUAAACUUACAAAUGAUGAUUUUCUUGGCGAUUCUCAUGCAUACCUAUUAUAUCCUAUCCUAUUCUAUCCUAACAAUAAUACAUUAAGUUACAUGAUUGUGGACGAAUGAGAAUUACCUCUUGAGAAUUCAUAUUUUCACAUUAAAAUGUGUAUGGCUUGUUAAAAUCAGACAAAGUUUAUCUGACUAUUCCUUCAACACAAAUAAUAUUUGUCCUGUUACACAUACAUUAAGGAAAAAUACUUGCAAAGGAUGAUAUGUAUAAUAGGACCAUACAAAUACAUAGGAUAAAUAAUAAAUAUUAGUAUCAAACAAUUCCAACCGUUAUAUACUGAAAAAUAUCUUUGCGAAUUAAACUAAAUUUGUGAAAUACAUUUUUUGCAUAUCAUUAAACUGAUUUUUUUUCUGAUUA
RNA transcript from Folsomia candida, 2062 nucleotides. RefSeq lists it as uncharacterized. The transcript has 5 exons. NCBI's taxonomy places the organism in Eukaryota, Metazoa, Arthropoda, Collembola, Entomobryomorpha, Isotomidae. The record is from RefSeq and is a predicted model, not a curated record.